RNAcentral lists this ribosomal RNA (594 nucleotides) under Halomonas sp. Halo30-1. Its description in RNAcentral is "bacterial SSU rRNA". It matches the Rfam family "Bacterial small subunit ribosomal RNA", at positions 38 to 623 of the family's 1533-position model. Lineage: Bacteria; Pseudomonadati; Pseudomonadota; Gammaproteobacteria; Oceanospirillales; Halomonadaceae. The record is from RNAcentral.
UGAAUUGGGCGGCCUACCUGCAAGUCGAGCGGAAACGAUGGGAGCUUGCUCCCAGGCGUCGAGCGGCGGACGGGUGAGUAAUGCAUAGGAAUCUGCCCGGUAGUGGGGGAUAACCUGGGGAAACUCGGGCUAAUACCGCAUACGUCCUACGGGAGAAAGCAGGGGAUCUUCGGACCUUGCGCUAUCGGAUGAGCCUAUGUCGGAUUAGCUAGUUGGUGAGGUAAUGGCUCACCAAGGCCGCGAUCCGUAGCUGGUCUGAGAGGAUGAUCAGCCACAUCGGGACUGAGACACGGCCCGAACUCCUACGGGAGGCAGCAGUGGGGAAUAUUGGACAAUGGGCGAAAGCCUGAUCCAGCCAUGCCGCGUGUGUGAAGAAGGCCCUCGGGUUGUAAAGCACUUUCAGUGAGGAAGAAGGCUUGCGGGUUAAUACCCCGCAGGAAGGACAUCACUCACAGAAGAAGCACCGGCUAACUCCGUGCCAGCAGCCGCGGUAAUACGGAGGGUGCGAGCGUUAAUCGGAAUUACUGGGCGUAAAGCGCGCGUAGGCGGCUUGAUAAGCCGGUUGUGAAAGCCCCGGGCUCAACCUGGGAACGG